UGGAAACAAGUGGUACAAGACGAUUCAAACAACAAAUAAAUGAGGAAUAUGACAGAGAUCAGGAAGUUGCAGCAUUGCAGGUCCCAACUCCAUCUUUACAAUCGUUUGUAAGAUCGUUGAAUGUUUCAAUCUGCUUCUUCCCUCUCAAGAAUACUUCUGUGUCAACAGAUGCUCUCAUGUAACCAUCAAAUUCGACCGGGUUGCCUCCAUUAAGCUUAGUAGUCUCUGAAUACCACUCACUGCUCUCAUCCCAAAGAUCUUUGUAGUCGUAAAGGAAAUGAGUGGCGUACUUAUCUUUCAAAGGGUUGAAGAAGGAUAAUUCUCCUUCAUUUGUUGCGAUGUAGAGAUGCCUUCCUUCUUCAACUUUGUCCUGCAAGGUCGACAAGAGAGCGCUCGGGGAAGUAUCCGCUUCAAGAUUAGGCCAAACCUCCUUGUUUCUUGCUUUCUCUCCUCUCUCAAUGUGUACAGCAUCGUAGUCCCAGUUUAACCUUGAUGCAAUAGCAGAGACGAUUUCCAUCAACCUUCUUGAUUUCCAUAACAGAUGCCACGGUCGUUUAACAACAGAUUCUGCAUCUCCUUCACAAACCCUGUACCAAUAAUUGUCUGGUUCUACAGAUCCAAACUUCCUCAUUAUCAACGUAUCUUUGACAGCCGCGAGCUUCAUGGGAGUGACCCUAAAAUCCUCCACGAGAUGAAGGUUCAAUCUAUUUCUUCUCUUCUUACGCAAUUUCCCCCACUGAGCCCAAAACUGAGCUUCAUCCAACACAGAAGCAGCUUCUUUCAAAUGCUCGAAAUCAAAGUAAAACCUGAAAUCCUUGCCUUCCUCAUUCUGACCAGACGAAGUAUAGAUAGAAGACAAACACAAGGUCAAAUCCAUCACUAGAGUCCUAUUCAAAUACUGAGCUUCCCCAAGAGCACACAAGAAACUCCACAGAAAAUGAUUCAUACUCUUACACCUAUCUCCACCACCAACAUAAACCAAAUACUUGCCAGUCUUAAACACACUAUCAGACUCAACCAUAGGAAGAGAAUCAUUCACAAGUUCACCAACAACAGGCAAAGAGAAAUCAUCUUUCUUCCCACCAGUUUUCUCAAACCCAGCUUUCUGAUUCUUCUUCCUCUUCCUCGCAUUCAAACCCGAAUGAUACUCACCAAUCCCAACAACACUCACACUACAAUUCUCAGACUUAGCAACAACAAACCUCCUAUAAUCCUUAUAAAAAGCAGCACUCUUCCCAUCUCUAGGCCUAUAACGCCACGCCAUAUCACAAGAAUUCACACCUUCUUCGCCAGUAACAGGCUUACCAAACUUAUAAAAGUGAAUAUCUUUAAACUUGUCAAUAGUAGCUCUCAUCAUAAGAUGAAACACUUGCUGAUCUUUGCAAUCAAUUGGAGUAUUCACAUCACAUUCCAACUUGUUACCCUCUUCCUCUGUAGUAGUCUCAUUGGUGCUGGCUUCAACAUCGUUUAUGUUGAUAAACUCUGCAAAUGCGGUUUGGUUAGCGAGCAUGAAAUCUUCACCGGUUUUAACAACGGAGUCAUCGGAUCUAAGUGUAGCGUUUGAUGUGGAAGUGAGGAAAGUUGUGAUUUUGUCAGAUGGGUGGAAGAGAGGAUCUUCUGGUUCGUAAGUUGCGGCGAUUAUGGUGAAGAUUAGUACUCCGAAGACGAAGAGUGAGAAGCCUAUGUUACCGAUUAAGGUAAGUGCGUUUUGACCUAGAUUCUCUGCACGGAAUCCUCCUCCACGAAUCGCAGAUCGGCCAAACAUUUUCUAUUCUACGGAUCUGGGAAU
This 1789-nucleotide long non-coding RNA is filed under the name Arabidopsis thaliana (thale cress). RNAcentral's name for it is "ncRNA (AT2G04755)". Lineage: Eukaryota; Viridiplantae; Streptophyta; Magnoliopsida; Brassicales; Brassicaceae. The record is from RNAcentral.